GGCGGUGGUGAGUAGCUACCUUUUUCUGCAACACGUCAGCGGCAGCGGCAACAGCGCGUCACGAUGGCAGAACAGCAGCAACGUGACUCGCUCUGCCCACGGUUGAUUGAUUACCUGGCAAUCGUUGGGGCGCGCACGACGGUCGUCGCACGUUCCGGAACUGGCAACGCUGCCCCAGCACCCGGUUCGGGCAGCCAAUCAUCCGUGCAGCUACCAGAGCUGUUGCGACGCUACCCACCGAUGGACCACGAUGACUUCCCUUUGCCGCUGGACAUGGUGUACUUCUGCCAGCCGGAAGGAUGCGUCAGUGUUGGCUCCCGGCGUACCGGGUCCGCCAUCCGGGACACGACCUCCUUCGUGUUUACGCUCACCGACAAAGACUCGGGCAAGACGCGGUACGGCAUCUGCGUGAAUUUCUACCGUCCGAUCGAGAAGUCAUUGCCGCGCGUGAGUGUCGGGGCCGGUACGGCCGCUGGCAAGCAGCCCCCGAACUCCUCCCUUCGCCGCGAAUCCUGGCGCAAGAGUAUGGAGAAAAGCUCCGACUCGGCUUUUUCGAGUGACUAUCGGAGCAGCAACAUUGCGCCGAGCGACUCCUCCGACCGGGACUGUCCCAGCCGACGGGAUUCCGAUCCGCCGAACGCGGGCAACAACUACACCGCUACGCAUCAGUCGCUGCUGGGCGUGGUCGGACCGUCCGGCGACUCGGAGUCCGGCGGCAGCCAUUCGCCGUCGCCGCGCGCCUCGCGCAAGCGGUCGAAGAUCCGCAACCAUUCGCUCACCUCGCUCUGCAUCCUGUCGCAUCAUCCAUUUUUGACGAUCUUCCGCGAGUGUCUGUUCAUUCUCAAGCGGCUGAUCGACGCGUGCAACGAUUCCUGCAGCCCGAAGCGGGUCGGUGCCGCCCGACCGUCCGUGCGCGACAGCGUCUGGAACGUGCUGACCAACCAGGCCUCGGAGUCGACCAGCUCGGUGAUACUGCACGAUGUGCAGGAGAUUGAGACCUGGAUCCUGCGGCUGCUGUCCGCGCCGGUCCCUGUGCCUGGGUCGACGCGCGUCGAGGUAGACGUACUGUCCGCUGCACUCUACCAGCCGCUGGUCUUUGCCCUGCCGGAUCACACCCGAUUCACGCUGGUGGACUUUCCGCUGCAUCUGCCGCUCGAGCUGCUCGGUGUCGAUACGUGCCUGCGGGUGCUGACGCUCAUACUGCUCGAGCACAAAGUAAUCAUACAGUCGCGCAACUAUAACGCGCUCUCGAUGUCUGUGAUGGCGUUCGUGCAUUUGAUCUAUCCGCUGGAGUACAUGUUCCCGGUUAUUCCACUGCUGCCGACCUGUAUGGGCAGUGCCGAGCAGUUGCUGCUCGCGCCUACACCGUACAUUAUCGGCCUGCCAGCAACCUUUCUGAUGUACAAGAAGAACUUUCGAUUGCCGGACGACAUUUGGCUGGUUGAUUUGGACUCGAAUAAGCUAACACCGGCGUCCGGUGAUAUGGAAGCAAUACCAAUGUUACCUGAGCCGGAAGGUGGUAUACUGAAGAAUCACUUAAAACAGGCCCUCAACUCCAUGACAUCGGGUAGUCAAACGUCCUCGCUGCCUGUCCGUCAGCAAGCCACGGGCAACGGUCGCGAUAGCUUCAGCAGCUCUAACGCCACCACUGGGCUAGCGCUGCAGGCUCCCCAAGCGUCUGCAUCGCACGGUUCGAAUCACGGUGGUGCCUCGUCGAACGCCGCUAUGCCCAUGACCGGACUCUCCAGUUCCACGGCCGCCUCCCAACAACCGAGCCCCGUGGGACAGCCGUCGACCGUAAAUCCGCUCAUCUUCGGUGCCGACGUCGACUCGGUAGACGUGGCGACACGCGUUGCGAUGGUGCGCUUCUUUAACUCGCAAAACACACUCGCAAACUUUACCGAACAUACGCGAAUUCUGCGGCUGUACCCGCGACCGGUUGUCGCCUUCCAGAUCAACAGCUUCCUGCGGUCACGGCCGCGCACGUCCGCCUUUCUCAACCGCUUCGCUCGCACCCAGGCCGUUGAGUGGCUGGCCGAGUGGUCGCUAACGCCCUCGAAUGUGGCGUUUCUGCGCGUGCAGACAGGCGUGCUAGACCCGGCGCAGGUCGGCGAUAAGCCGAAAUGGUACGCCCACACUCUUAACCCGAUCCGCUUCCAGGUGUGGGACGAGGGCAGCACGCUGAGCGUGGCACUGAAGCGCAUGCUGCGUCUCGAGAAUCAGCCCACCGAUGAGAGUGGUUCCGAUUCGGACGGCGCGGACAGUACCAGCUCGUCCUACUCGUCGCUGAGCGACUUUGUGUCUGAGAUCGUAUCAUCGGACCUGUCGCCGAGCCUGCACGAGGUGUACGCCAACCAGCACCAUCAUCACGUCGCGCCGAAGAACCUGUCGUCCAACCUGGAUCCGCGUCUGGUGUAUCGGCCGCCGAGCUCGCUGCGCUUUCCGGAAGGUAUGCAGCCGCAGCCGCGAGAACCGAGCGGCACGGAGCAGGUAGAUUCGGCCGAGUCGACCUCGUCGAGCCAGUCCGAUCUCAGCUCGCCCAGCUUCAACCGUGACUCGGAGUUCGAGUUCAACCCGAAGACCCGCAACGAGGUGCACCUGGUCGUGAAGCCGGAGCGCGAGCACGGCAGCUUCGAGAACGAGUCGGACUCCAACUCCACCACCACGCCAAAGACGAUCGUAUCGAAGGACAGUGGGGGGUCGCACGAGGCCGUCACAGGCGUGAAGCGCACCGGGAAGCUGUCCAAGAUUCCUCCACCCAUAUCGCCGAACUUUGCGCGCCAGCAGAGCGGGGCGAACUUGCUGGCACGCACGUCAAGCUCUGGCUCUACCGGGUCCGGCAGCCAUCCGCCGUCGCUUGGAUCUGCCGGAUCGCAGCGCCAGAGCUCGCAGGGCUCCCUGUUCGAGGUGCUGACCACGCAGGCGAAGGAACUGGUUAGGGAGACGACCCGCCAGAGCAGCCAGGAUGGGCUCCUGGCACAGAUGGACAAGUUCAAAGUGCAGGCCAAGGAAAUAGAAGAAGAUCUCAAGAUUCUAGCUCCUCUUGAGCAGCUUACGUUGCAGGCUAAGAAGGCCGCAGAGGAGGCGUCUAAGCAAGCGCUCGAAGCGUCCAAGCAGGCGGCUGGCGUUAGCAAGAACACCAUCGAAGAUCUGACCUAUGUCGGCAAAUCUACCAUCGGUGAUCUCACUAAAUCGGCCAAGGAGGUAGCGGCCAAGAAGGGGCUGCUGCAGCAAGGUACCGGUCCGUACACUGGACCACAAUCGCUGAAUUCUCCGACCACAAACACGGUGGCGACCACCAACCAGUCGCUAUUUUCAUCGAUCACCAGCGACUUCAACGGUAUCGCCCAGUCAACAUCCUCAAUGUUUUCCGAUCUGUUCGGUGGCAAGCAGAAACACCAGCAGCAACAGCAGCAUCACCAGCAGCAGCACCAACAGCACCACCAACAGCAGGGAGGCGAUUCACAUCGUGGGACCAGCAUGCUACAGCAACAGCAGCUCAAAAUGAAGGAAAAACUAUCGUUCGAUCCAUUUCCCGGCCGCAAGGGGCUGGUGGAGCGAAACCCGCUGAUCAAGCACUCUGGCCCAAAGCAAACGAAGGAGGAAAUGCAGCGAAUACAGAACGCCGAACGAUCGACGAGUAACUCGGAAAAUCAAACCUUUCUAAAGGAUCUGGUCAACCAGGUCCUAGCCGGGGAGGGCGUUGGAUGGCUGAAGCUGAACCGACUCAAGAAACUGAUGGAGGACGAAUCGUAUCGUAUGCUGGUGCUGGGAAAGCUCAACAGGACGCUAGAGCGAAAGAUUGGCCCAGACGACCAUAUCGACGACGUGUGCAUAUCGAAAGCAGUGUACAAAGGAACGCUCAAGUGUUUGUUGGCGAUAACGCACGGGCUGGAGCACACGAUAGGGAACUUUGGUCUCGGCGGGAUGGCGUCCGUGUUUCAAAUGAUGGAAAUCGCUCACACGCACUACUGGAGCAAGGAUUUAAGUGAAGGUGCGGGUUCCGAGAUGUCUGCCAGCUUGCUGUCCAGCCAGAGCGUAAGUCCGAUGGGCAGUCGGGAGAACCUAAGGUCACCCCAAAGCCCCACGGAGCUGUCGGAUUGGAUGCUGGGUGGCUCUCGCAAAAGCUCCAGUGCUAACAACGACCAUAUCGCCCUCUCGCGUCACCCGUCGGAGAACGAGCAGGAGAACCAAUCUACGUCGGAAAUGUUCAAAGACAUGCUGUCCCUGAAACGGAAUGUGUUGUUCAACAAGCUGACAUCCUUUGAGUCGGAGGGUAGCAUUGCGAUGCAAGAUUCAUCUGGGACAUUAUCUGUCGCUAGUGACGUUUUGCCGCAACAGCAAUCCGGUGACUUUUUGGCUACCUCUAUCUCUUGCCGUUCGACGGUGUCGGAUACCGAGUAUGAGAAAUUUCCGAAAAGCUCCACCCUGAAGGACGCGAAAAAGAUGGCGGGUGGUAUAUUUUCCGGCAAGUCAUCACUAAGUGCGGGCUUUCGCUACACUGGCGGCAGCCUAAUUCCGUCGUCCGGGUCGCCUUCGCCGGAUGCGCCCCGGGUGUAUCUGUUCGAGGGGCUGCUAGGUAAGGAUCGGUCCAGCAUCUGGGACCAGAUGCAGUUCUGGGAAGACGCGUUCCUGGACGCGGUCAGCCAGGAGCGGGACAUGAUCGGCAUGGAUCAGGGACCGGGCGAGAUGAUGGAGCGCUACAAGGCGCUGUCCGAGUCGGAGCGCAAGCGACUCGAGCACGAUGAGGACCGGCUGCUGUCCACGAUGCUGUACAAUCUGACAGCAAUUCUGGUAAUGCUGAAUGUACACAAGCUGGAAAUCAAGAAAAAAGUACGGCGACUGCUAGGCAAGAGCCACAUAGGGUUCAUUUACUCGCAGGAGGUGAACCUGCUGCUCGAUCAGAUUAAUAAUCUGCAUGGUAAUGACAUCGAUCUGAAGCCGCUGGGAUCCCGUUUGCUGCACCGGCAAAGCUUCACCGUACACCAGGGCAUCGAUGCGAGCGGAUCGCUCCGCUUCAUUGAAGUGCGUGACGACGGACUGGUGCUGCGUUCGGUGAACGGUAGCAUCACCGAGCGAUGGUGGUUCGAGCGGCUAGUCAACAUGACCUACUCGCCGAAAACGAAGGUGCUGUGCCUGUGGCAGCGUAACGGGGGCCAAACGCAGCUGCACAAGUACUACACGCGCAAGUGCAAGGAGCUGUACAACUGCAUCAAGGAGUCGAUGGAACGCAGCGGCUGCGCCGGCCAGGCCCCCGAGCUGGGAGGCGAGUUCCCGGUGCAGGACAUGACGACCGGCGAGGGCGGUCUGCUCCAGGUGUGCCUUGAGGGCGUCGGACUGUUGUUUGCGAACAGCAAGCCACCUUCCCCAACCAGUUAGCCGAGUAGUGGAAGUUGCUGUGCCAUUUUGUGCUUCACCUAAACCAAAUCUUGUGUUGCUCGCGUUUUUUUAAAACGAUCGAUGUAAUGUUAUGUAUCGCAUUUACAUGCUCCUCAAAAUUGCCAUCAAUUGCCAUCUGUUCAUUUAUCAUAAUAAACUAAAAAAAAAAAACAAAUCGCCCCCGCCCCAGUAUUAACAAUUCCACCAGAAAACACAUACAGGCAAGGAGAGAGAAAGCGAGAGACACUUUGAGGGAAAAAUGAAAGAGAGAGAGAAAGAGUAAGGUAGUGAACUAGAAGUACAGAAAUUGAAGUACGAGCGCGAAAUAUAAACCUAUGGCGUUUAAGUUGUUCGCACUCGUUACCCAGUUCUCGCCAUUACACGAGACCAGCAAAAGUGAAAAAUUCAUCCCAGUUUUCUAGCAGCUAUCUCUGUUUUAGUAUUUUGUAACUACUUUUUUAGUUGUUAGCUCUUAGACAAUUGUUGCCGUCGCAUUCAUUGUAACGUUUUCGAUUUGUUUGUUUGUUUGUUUGUUUUUUUUUUUGUUACAUUUACCAAUUCUCGCCAUUAGUAUACUUAUGUUUUUGUUUGUUUGUUUGUUUUCAAAACAUUGGAAAGUAAAAGCUAAAAUGCGAAAUGUGUUUGCCAUUCUUGUUUUUUUUUUCUUCUUCUGUUCUCUCUCUUCUAUUAUUUCCUCUGUAAGCUUCUUGUUAGUACGUUCUUUCGUAUUCCUCAUUACCCAUUUCCCUGUCUUACUUAGUGUAUUUUAUUGAACGCGCUUAGUAAGUCUAGCAAACAAAACCUGGAUUGAAAUAUAGUCAUUUUUCUUGGUUUGUUUAUGCUUUUUUUUUAAUCGUUUCUCAUUUACAUCGUAUCACAACUGGUACACCUUUGCAUGCUUCUCCCUUUUAUUGCCACUCUUACCAUAAGACAUGAUUUUUAGAGUGUUUGCGCGCUCCCCUGCUAACCGAACUGUGUCGUUGAUUGGGUUUUCGAUUGUAACAUCAAACGCUAGUUGUGUUUUAGUUUGUUUUGAUUUUUAUAUACUUGCUGUACCAAAUGUGUUUAUCAUGUUUCCGAACUCCGUUUUCUGUUUACCCACCAUUUGUAGAUCGCUCACCGAUGUCACACUAUAGCUCUAUGCAGCUAUCAUUUUCCUGUUUUACCAUUUGAACUUUUCACAGCAAUGCCGUUUUUUUAGUUUUGAAUUCCUUUUUGGUUACCUUUUUUUUUUGGUUUCUCCUUAACUUCUUACUGUUUUCUUUUGAAACAAUUUGGUUUUGAAAUUAAUACUGUACGUUUCGACUUUCGAGUACUUUGUUUUCCUAUUUUCCUUUUUUUGUAUAUGUCGAGUAAAACAAAAACAACACAAUUGAAGCAAAACUACUGUUUAGUUUCUAGUGCCGAUCGUUUUCGAAGACCAUCUCACAAGUAAAUUUGUUUGUAUUUGAUAAUCUUCUCCCCUACCCCCCCCCCCCCCCCCCCCCUUUUCCCACAAUUUCGCCAUAAUGGACAUGUGUUUUAUCAAGUGGUGUUAAUUGAUAUCUUUAUAUGUUCGUAGGCCAAUUUUAAUGCGCAUCUUCUUUAGCUCAUCAAUAUAUUCGAUACCGUGCAUAUAUAUACAUAGAUGUUAUACAUAGACACCUAGAGUUUUGCCACCAUCAUUGCUCUUAGCCGCGCUCUAACACGCGUGUCAUAGUCAACCGCAAGCAAACAAACAAACAAAAAAAAACAGAAAAAAAACAAUUGGAAGUUACGUUUCGUACAUUAGUUUCAUGCACUUUUCUGUUCCAUUGUUUGUUCUUUCUUCUCAAUAUGUUUUGUUGUACAUCCUUGUAGCUUUUAUUCGUUUGUUUUUUUUUUGUGUACCAUUACGCACACGGGUAGCAUAAGCUAGUUAUGCGGCCACACCAUCUCUGCUCCAUACCAUUGUACUACAAAACGCUCAUUUUGCCGGUAGUUGCGUAGGUCAUUCGGGGUUGUUUCUUUUUUUUUUUCUUUCUCUCCGAUCUUGUUACGAUGCAAGUUGCGUUACGUUUUUGUUUUGUUUUCUCUCUGUUUUCAGUUUCUAUGUUAAGUUUUUCCAUGUUUUCUCGUGCUCGUGGUUAACUAUUUUGCUUCGAAGCUAGAACUAUAGAAUGCUGAUGGUAGCAGUUUUAGUAGUAGUUUGCUUUGUUUAUUUUAUUUUUUUUUGUUUAGUAACAAAAACAAACCGUGUCGUAUUACAACAGAGCCAAUCAUUAGACAACUUUUUUUUAGUAUUCCUCCAACAACAACAAAAAAGUAGACUUUAGAGAUCGUACAGAACCACCAAAAACGGCGGAAGAAACCAUCGCUGAGCGACCUUCUUUGCUAGUUGAUGCCGUUCUUUUUCCCACGUUCAAACCUGUAUGCCUGCAUAAGCGAAUUACACACCAUCUAUACCAUAUAUACAAACACGCACACGUUUGAAGCGAUCUACAUCGACUGAAAGGACGCGCAAUGGUUUGCGAUUGAAAUGUAUCGCAGUGUGAAUGGUACGGCUUUUUUUUUUUUUAUGGCAACCUUUUCGAAAAUCCAACCUGUGUACCAUCGCAUUCAUGUGAAGGCGGAAACAUUUCAAUCGCAACGACCCUACGACCCAGUGAUGACUGACUCUACCGUACUGUAUUGAAGUUUUGAUUAGUGUUAGAUAGUGCACACAGCACACAGAGCACACACACACAUAUACUAGUAAAACAUAUACACCAACACAGACAGAGAAAUGCGCGCGCGCGCGCGCCCAGAAACAAAAACUCGCGCAAGAAGUACCAGAGCUAGUAGUACAGGCAUGGCCAACUAACAUGCGUUCUUUAUUCUCUUGCAUCGUUCGACGGAAUCCGCCGACCAUUCUGUCCCUCGUUGUGGCCACCAAUUUUCCGCCAUUCGGUGUACAUGGUUAGUUCUUCAUCCGGCUUAAUCAUAUACGGAAGUGCUUCACACAGAAAGGUGGCGUGUUCAUUCUGGAGGAGUACAAUCCCAAAACAAGACUUAUUAUUCAACGAAAAUACAAAUCCGCCAUGG
RNA transcript from Anopheles gambiae (African malaria mosquito), 8421 nucleotides. It is a transcript of the gene named MAP kinase-activating death domain protein, with no coding region annotated. The record is from RefSeq and is a predicted model, not a curated record. Lineage: Eukaryota; Metazoa; Arthropoda; Insecta; Diptera; Culicidae. The transcript is spliced from 15 exons.